GCCUGGGUGGCUCAGUAGGUUGAGCGCCUGACUUUGGCUCAGGUCAUGAUCUCGUAGUUUGUGAGUUCAAGGCCCGCAUCGGGCU
This 85-nucleotide transfer RNA is filed under the name Felis catus (domestic cat). It matches the Rfam family "tRNA". Rfam says of the family: Transfer RNA (tRNA) molecules are approximately 80 nucleotides in length. The record is from Rfam by way of RNAcentral. Lineage: Eukaryota; Metazoa; Chordata; Mammalia; Carnivora; Felidae.